Non-coding RNA from Heteronotia binoei (common prickly gecko), 72 nucleotides. The record is from the annotation of a RefSeq genome assembly. Lineage: Eukaryota; Metazoa; Chordata; Lepidosauria; Squamata; Gekkonidae.
GGGGAUGUAGCUCAGUGGUAGAGCACAUGCUUUGUAUGCAUGAGGUCCUGGGUUUGAUCCCCAGCAUCUCUA